This 475-nucleotide ribosomal RNA is filed under the name bacterium ER-Te-42B-dark. RNAcentral describes it as "bacterial SSU rRNA". It matches the Rfam family "Bacterial small subunit ribosomal RNA", at positions 284 to 752 of the family's 1533-position model. The record is from RNAcentral.
UGGCUGUUCUGAGAGGGAUGAUCAGUCACACUGGGACUGAGACACGGCCCAGACUCCUACGGGAGGCAGCAGUGGGGAAUAUUGCACAAUGGGCGAAAGCCUGAUGCAGCCAUGCCGCGUGUGUGAAGAAGGCCUUCGGGUUGUAAAGCACUUUCAGUAGGGAGGAAAGGGUGUUGCUUAAUACUUAGCAUUUAUGACGUUACCGUCAGAAUAAGCACCGGCUAACUCCGUGCCAGCAGCCGCGGUAAUACGGAGGGUGCGAGCGUUAAUCGGAAUUACUGGGCGUAAAGCGUGCGCAGGCGGUUUGUUAAGUCAGAUGUGAAAUCCCCGGGCUCAACCUGGGAACUGCAUUAGAAACUGCAUAACUAGAGUAUUGCAGAGGGGGGUGGAAUUCCAGGUGUAGCGGUGAAAUGCGUAGAUAUGUGGAGGAACACCGGUGGCGAAGGCAACCCCCUGGACAAUACUGACGCUCAGC